Molecule: long non-coding RNA, 153 nt
Organism: Oncorhynchus masou masou (cherry salmon)
Lineage: Eukaryota; Metazoa; Chordata; Actinopteri; Salmoniformes; Salmonidae
Exons: 2
Source: RefSeq, a predicted model, not a curated record
CUGAAGGUACUAUAGGUUCAUCACUGUACUAACCAGUCACACGCUGAAGGUCCUAUAGGUUCACCACUGUACUAACCUGUCACACACUGAAGACCUAUAGGUUCACCACUGUACUAACCUGUCACACACUGAAGGCCUAUAGGUUCACCACUG